GAUGAACGCUGGCGGUGUGCCUAACACAUGCAAGUCGAACGGCAAGACCGUGAGAGCGUGCUCUUCCCGGUGGCGGGUGGCGGACGAGUGAGGUGUGCAUCGGAAUCUUCUUUUUCGUGGAGGAUAACGUAGGUAAAGUUACGCUAAUACCGCAUACGACCUACCGGUGAGAGCAGUGGAUCGUCGCGCCUUUCGCGAUUGGAUUAGCCGAUGUCGGGCUAGCUGGUUGGGGGGGUAAAGGCCCACCAAGGCGACGAUACGUGGCCGGUCUGAGAGGAUGGUCAGCCACACGGGAACUGAGACACGGUCAAGACUCCUACGGGAGGCAGCAGUGGGGAAUAUUGGACAAUGGGCGGAAGCCUGAUCCAGCGAUACCGCGUGGGUGAAGAAGGCCUUCGGGUUGUAAAGCCCGUUUGUUGGGAAAGAACAGCUGUAGGUUAAGACGCAGCGGUUCUGACGGUACCGAAUGAAGAAGCACCGGCUAACUACGUG
Molecule: ribosomal RNA, 492 nt
Filed under: uncultured bacterium
Lineage: Bacteria
Description: partial 16S ribosomal RNA
Rfam family: Bacterial small subunit ribosomal RNA
Source: RNAcentral